This 1716-nucleotide unclassified non-coding RNA is filed under the name Hevea brasiliensis (rubber tree). The record is from RNAcentral. Lineage: Eukaryota; Viridiplantae; Streptophyta; Magnoliopsida; Malpighiales; Euphorbiaceae.
UGCAGAUGAAGAAACCUAAUUAAUUAAGAUUUGGUCCUCUCUUCUUCUUCACUUUUAUAAAAAAGGGAAAAAACACAAAAAAAAAAAUUCAAUUUCCUCCAUUUUCAUUAGUAAAUAUUUUUGGAUUUCCCUUAAUUUUGCUAUAAUUGACUAGUCACCCUCUAAUUUUGUUUAUCUUUUUACCCUCCUCAGGCUCAGUCCUCUCUCGGUCUCUACCACUCCCGUGAUUUCCUUUAUCUUUUAGCAAUUUGUGUUGUUAGAUCUGAAAAAAUUUCAUUUCCCAAACAACCACCCACUCGCCGGCCGACCAGAUCCACCGCCGCUGAUUUCAAAUCUAUGGAUGAUUUUCCUGGUCUCUUGGCCCGGGACUUCGGCUUCAAACCCCAGGGUAAAUCCGCCCCCAUGGCUCCGUCCCGUAAUACCAACACUAACACUAACACUUUCUCCUCUGUCAAUUUCGGUCUCGGAUCCAGUGCUUCUGCUCACUCCCGAUCAUCCUCCGCUUCCAACAAAUCUGCUCCUAUUUUCGAUGAUCAUGAUCACGAUCGCGAUGUCAGUGAUGGUCUUUUGUUCAACGACGUCUUUGGUGGCCCGCCAAAGUAUGCGGAAUCGCGUGGCGGUGGUGCUGGUGGAGGAAUUAACUCCUCCUCUUCUGCAUUUGAUUAUGACUCCAUUUUCAAGGACCAGAAUGCGAAAUCUUCGUCUCUUCCGGUUUUUGAUAAGCCAGUUUAUGAUGAUGAUAUUUUUGAUGGAUUGCCUGGUCUCAAGAGUUCGUCUGUGGGUCCGCAAUCGGCUAAGUUUGAUGAUGCGUUUACUUCGAUCGGUACUGCUUCUUCCCCAAAACGUAGGGCGCAAAACAACAGCUCGCCAUUCGAUGAUCUGUUGGAGAAUUUAGGUAAAAAGGAGACUGAAUCCAGGAGAGAGACUGCCAAAGCGGAUAAGGAUUCAGCUGCUUUUGAUGAUUUGCUUCCUGGUUUUGGUCGCAGUAGCUCCCCUAGUAUUCCCAGGUCAACUUCAGAGUCCAGUCGGUCCCAGAAACCAUCAGCAAAUUCGGCCAGGAUAACCUCCAGUAUAAUAGAAGACCCUUUUGUUGUCUUAGAAUCAGCUUCAACCCCUGCAUCUUCAUCCUCAGGGUUGUAUGUAGACCCAUUGGAAGAAAUUAGUAAAUUCAGUAGCUCUGGAAACACAAAGUUUGAUAAUUCAUCGGUCAAUAUAGGAGUAUUUGAUGAUAUGGACUCCUUUGAUAAUCUUGGAAAAUCUGUACCUCCAGUUUCACAUGGAGUCAAUAGGAGAGGAAAAGACAGGAGCCCUCUAAGAACUGGACCAAGCAUGGGUGGCACUUUUUCAACUUCUAGUAAAGAGCCAGUUGACAAAUAUCCUGUGGAUGAAGCUGAAGGCCAGUCACAGAGGAAUAUGCCUAAUGAUGAUUUCCAGGAAUCACAUGAAACAUUGUUUGAUAUGCCUUCUGUUGGUCAAAAUGUCUCAUCUCCUUCAUAUGUGAAUGCCAGUACUAAUGAGGCAAAUUCACCUCCAAGAUCUGAAGAUAUUUCAGAAUCACCUGAUGAUGUGUGGCUUACUGUGUCGGAAGUUCCACUUUUUACUCAACCCACAAGUGCUCCACCCCCUUCAAGACCCCCAAGGCCUCUACCACCUCGGAUUUCAAAGUCAGAGACAGGUUCUUUUUCAUCAACAAACUCAAGAAUGAAGGUUAAUGAA